GACGAACCGUGCGAACGUUGUUCGGAAUCACUGGGCUUAAAGGGCGCGUAGGCGGGCUGUCAAGUCUGGGGUGAAAUGCCGCGGCUCAACCGUGGAACUGCCUUAGAUACUGACGGCCUCGAGGAAGGUAGGGGCAUGCGGAACUGUAGGUGGAGCGGUGAAAUGCGUUGAUAUCUACAGGAACUCCGGUGGCGAAAACGGCGUGCUGGACCUUUUCUGACGCUGAGGCGCGAAAGCUAGGGGAGCAAACGGG
This 253-nucleotide ribosomal RNA is filed under the name uncultured bacterium. Its description in RNAcentral is "partial 16S ribosomal RNA". It matches the Rfam family "Bacterial small subunit ribosomal RNA", at positions 524 to 776 of the family's 1533-position model. The record is from RNAcentral.